GCGGGGGUGCCCGAGCCUGGUCAAAGGGGGCGGACUCAAGAUCCGCUGGCGAAGGCCUGCGUGGGUUCGAAUCCCACCCCCCGCACCA
Molecule: transfer RNA, 88 nt
Filed under: Vulcanisaeta distributa DSM 14429
Lineage: Archaea; Thermoproteati; Thermoproteota; Thermoprotei; Thermoproteales; Thermoproteaceae
Also listed under: 3 other names
Description: tRNA-Leu (CAA) (tRNA-Leu-CAA-1-1)
Rfam family: tRNA
About the family: Transfer RNA (tRNA) molecules are approximately 80 nucleotides in length. Their secondary structure includes four short double-helical elements and three loops (D, anti-codon, and T loops). Further hydrogen bonds mediate the characteristic L-shaped molecular structure. tRNAs have two regions of fundamental functional importance: the anti-codon, which is responsible for specific mRNA codon recognition, and the 3' end, to which the tRNAs corresponding amino acid is attached (by aminoacyl-tRNA synthetases). tRNAs cope with the degeneracy of the genetic code in two manners: having more than one tRNA (with a specific anti-codon) for a particular amino acid; and 'wobble' base-pairing, i.e. permitting non-standard base-pairing at the 3rd anti-codon position.
Source: RNAcentral